Molecule: long non-coding RNA, 334 nt
Organism: Oncorhynchus keta (chum salmon)
Lineage: Eukaryota; Metazoa; Chordata; Actinopteri; Salmoniformes; Salmonidae
Exons: 3
Source: RefSeq, a predicted model, not a curated record
GCCAUUUAUAACCAUAAUGGAUGUGAGGUGGGGCUCAGACCCAGUUUAGAGGGGCCAGGCCAUUUAUAACCAUAAUGGAUGCGAGGUGGGGCUCAGACCCAGUUUAGAGGGGCCAGGCCAUUUAUAACCAUAAUGGAUGUGAGGUGAGGCUCAGACCCAGUUUAGAGGGGCCAGGCCAUUUAUAACCAUAAUGGAUGCGAGGUGGGGCUCAGACCCAGUUUAGAGGGGCCAGGCCAUUUAUAACCAUAAUGGAUGUGAGGUGGGGCUCAGACCCAGUUUAGAGGGGCCAGGCCAUUUAUAACCAUAAUGGAUGUGAGGUGAGGCUCAGACCCAG